UACGAAGGGGGCUAGCGUUGCUCGGAAUCACUGGGCGUAAAGGGUGCGUAGGCGGGUCUUUAAGUCAGGGGUGAAAUCCUGGAGCUCAACUCCAGAACUGCCUUUGAUACUGGCGAGCUUGAGUUCGGGAGAGGUGAGUGGAACUGCGAGUGUAGAGGUGAAAUUCGUAGAUAUUCGCAAGAACACCAGUGGCGAAGGCGGCUCACUGGCCCGAUACUGACGCUGAGGUGCGAAAGCGUGGGGAGUAAACAGG
RNAcentral lists this ribosomal RNA (253 nucleotides) under uncultured bacterium. RNAcentral's name for it is "partial 16S ribosomal RNA". It matches the Rfam family "Bacterial small subunit ribosomal RNA", at positions 524 to 776 of the family's 1533-position model. The record is from RNAcentral.